Molecule: ribosomal RNA, 503 nt
Filed under: uncultured bacterium
Lineage: Bacteria
Description: partial 16S ribosomal RNA
Rfam family: Bacterial small subunit ribosomal RNA
Source: RNAcentral
AUUGAACGCUGGCGGCAGGCUUAACACAUGCAAGUCGAGCGGGGUGAUGGUGCUUGCACUAUCACUUAGCGACGGACGGGUGAGUAAUGCUUAGGAAUCUGCCUAUUAGUGGGGGACAACAUCUCGAAAGGGAUGCUAAUACCGCAUACGUCCUACGAGAGAAAGCAGGGGAUCACUUGUGACCUUGCGCUAAUAGACGAGCCUAAGUCGGAUUAGCUCGUUGGUGGGGUAAAGGCCUACCAAGGCGACGAUCUGUAGCGGGUCUGAGAGGAUGAUCCGCCACACUGGGACUGAGACACGGCCCAGACUCCUACGGCAGGCAGCAGUGGGGAAUAUUGGACAAUGGGGGGAACCCUGAUCCAGCCAUGCCGCGUGUGUGAAGAAGGCCUUAUGGUUGUAAAGCACUUUAAGCGAGGAGGAGGCUCUUUUGGUUAAUACCCAAGAUGAGUGGACGUUACUCGCAGAAUAAGCACCGGCUAACUCUGUGCCAGCCGCCGCAGUAA